RNAcentral lists this unclassified non-coding RNA (711 nucleotides) under Hevea brasiliensis (rubber tree). The record is from RNAcentral. Lineage: Eukaryota; Viridiplantae; Streptophyta; Magnoliopsida; Malpighiales; Euphorbiaceae.
GAGAAAUAUAGAGGACCUGAAACAAGAUAGGAAGAGAGUUUUUAGGAAUACGGAUGCCAGAAAUGGAAGGAUUGACAGCUAGAGAAUCUAGGCAUGGUGGUUCAGCAACAUUCAACAAUUUUCUGGCAAUGUCAACAGACUUUCUCGCAACUCCUUAAUGCAUUGGCAUUGGAUUUUUUAGAACAAAAAUUUGGAUUCUAUUGGAACAAAAAUUUGGAUUCUAUUGGUGGUACCCUUUAUUAGUGAGAGAGCUUGUUGGUGGUAGAGAUUUGUGAGGCAUGUCCUUCUUUGUCUUGUGUCAUGAAACAUGUUCCUAUUUAAGUGUGCCCACUUGACCCUGGUAGAGGCCAGCAACCUGUGCACCUUGCACCUCAAAUGUGUCUUUACAUUUAUACAUCUUAUAUUGCAAGCGCUAGAGAGAGUUUGAUGCAUGUAGUAUGAAGGCUAUUUUCAAGUUUAGACUUGAGACCCCCAAGUCGUGGUGAAUCAACCUUAUCAUUGUGUGAAGGUUUACUCUUGCAUAUCACCAAAUUAUUGUGUAUAAACUGAUUGCAUUGCCACCUUAUAAAUUCAACCAUCAAGUCAUGAAAUUUUAAAAUUUUUUCUUCACUGCAAAUUGUCUUUAGAUUAAAUUCUUGACAAUCACUCAACCAGAUAUUUGAAGAUGGUUGUAUACUCUUAACUUUGGAAGGGAAUUAUGACCGCAACUAG